RNAcentral lists this unclassified non-coding RNA (207 nucleotides) under plant metagenome. Its description in RNAcentral is "partial contains small subunit ribosomal RNA, internal transcribed spacer 1, and 5.8S ribosomal RNA". The record is from RNAcentral.
UUUCCGUAGGUGAACCUGCGGAAGGAUCAUUCAUAAUAAGUGUUUUACGGCACUUUUUUAUAUCCAUAUUCACCUUGUGUGCAAUGUCAGGGUUGGUCUCUUUUGAUCAGCCCCAGACAUCAACUAUUAUCUCAACUCAUUGUCUGGAAAAUAUUAUGUGUAAAACAAUUCAAAAUACAACUUUCAACAACGGAUCUCUUGGCUCUA